This 1191-nucleotide long non-coding RNA is filed under the name Marmota monax (woodchuck). Lineage: Eukaryota; Metazoa; Chordata; Mammalia; Rodentia; Sciuridae. The record is from RNAcentral.
CUAAGCUCUAUAAAGGAGGUAUUAUUUUCUUUUACAGUUAAGAAAAUUGAGAUAAGUAUCUUAUUCAAGUUCACUACUCCUCUGAACUAUUUUUCUCUGUAUUUUUUUUCCUUCAUCUGACAUUCAUAAGUGGAAUACAACAUGGUACAUUAUCCAAUAUCUGCUGGCAUCUUAAAAACAAGAAAUACAUGCAACUCAGCAUCUUAUCCCAGCACCUAGCACUGAGUGGAGCAUACAGUAGUCUUCUAAUAAAUGUGAAGAAAGAAAUGGAGGCUCUUGGCCUUUAGAAGUCUGAUCCACUUGAGGAGACAGACACACAAACUGCAUGUCAUCAGGAUGUCCUCAUCAGCAAUGUCUUUUGGAAUAAAACAACCUAUAGCUAAAACUUCCUGGAUUUUGCAAAGAAACUCUGAGCAUGAGCCUGAUUAUUGUCCUGCAUCUGCCCUUGUGGCACUAGCCAUGGUCUUGUUCCUUGGUAUCUUAAAACUCUCAAUGAGCUUGUAUUAGUUUCCUAGGGCUAAUGUCACAAACCACCACAAUCUACAAACCACCACGAUCUUGGCAGCUUAAACCAAUAUAAAUUAUUAUUUGAGAGACUAGAAGCCUGAAAACAAGGUGAAUGCAGAUCCACAUGGCCUCUGAAAGCACUAAGGGAGAAUCUAGACCAGGCAGUCUCAGUCUGGCUUUGCUUAGCUUCUAUGGGCUCCAGGUGUCUCUCAGCAUUUCUUGGCUUGUAGGCACAUCACUCCAAUCUCUGCCUCCCUCCUCAAAUCACUUCAUCCUUUUCUCUGUGUUUUUCUCAUGAGGAUAUUUGUGAUUUGAUUUAGGUCUCACCUGGAUAAUCCAGAUCAUCUCAUCUCAAAAUCCAUAACUUUGUUACAUUACUAAAGAUCCUUUUUCCAAAGAGGAUCACUCACAGGUUCCAGGGAUUGGGACAUGGACAUAUCUCCUUGGGGACACCAUUCAACUACUACAGAGCUUUAACCAAUUCCCCUGGUAUGAAUUCUUCUGAAGUGAAAAAUCGCAAGUUUAUAACUCUCAAUCAUGCAAAGACUUUUCAAAAAUGAUUCUGACAGCUCCACAAAUCUCAUUUGGUUCCAUUUUCUAUCUUAAUGAAAUAAUGGAGAUGUUUACACUGUAUAGUAAUUAAAAUAUCAUGUAAGGAUUACUCUUUCUUUCACUGAUUUCGUA